GACGAACGCUGGCGGCGUGCCUAAUACAUGCAAGUCGAGCGGAUUGAUGGGAGCUUGCUCCCUGAUAUCAGCGGCGGACGGGUGAGUAACACGUGGGCAACCUGCCUGUAAGACUGGGAUAACUUCGGGAAACCGGAGCUAAUACCGGAUAAUCCUUUUCCUCUCAUGAGGAAAAGCUGAAAGACGGUUUCGGCUGUCACUUACAGAUGGGCCCGCGGCGCAUUAGCUAGUUGGUGAGGUAACGGCUCACCAAGGCGACGAUGCGUAGCCGACCUGAGAGGGUGAUCGGCCACACUGGGACUGAGACACGGCCCAGACUCCUACGGGAGGCAGCAGUAGGGAAUCUUCCGCAAUGGACGAAAGUCUGACGGAGCAACGCCGCGUGAGCGAAGAAGGCCUUCGGGUCGUAAAGCUCUGUUGUUAGGGAAGAACAAGUAUCGGAGUAACUGCCGGUACCUUGACGGUACCUAACCAGAAAGCCACGGCUAACUACGUGCCAGCAGCCGCGGUAAUACGUAGGUGGCAAGCGUUGUCCGGAAUUAUUGGGCGUAAAGCGCGCGCAGGCGGUUCCUUAAGUCUGAUGUGAAAGCCCCCGGCUCAACCGGGGAGGGUCAUUGGAAACUGGGGAACUUGAGUGCAGAAGAGAAGAGCGGAAUUCCACGUGUAGCGGUGAAAUGCGUAGAGAUGUGGAGGAACACCAGUGGCGAAGGCGGCUCUUUGGUCUGUAACUGACGCUGAGGCGCGAAAGCGUGGGGAGCAAACAGGAUUAGAUACCCUGGUAGUCCACGCCGUAAACGAUGAGUGCUAAGUGUUAGAGGGUUUCCGCCCUUUAGUGCUGCAGCAAACGCAUUAAGCAC
RNAcentral lists this ribosomal RNA (857 nucleotides) under uncultured bacterium. RNAcentral describes it as "bacterial SSU rRNA". It matches the Rfam family "Bacterial small subunit ribosomal RNA", at positions 28 to 867 of the family's 1533-position model. The record is from RNAcentral.